CACGAGUGGCGGCGGGGGGAGCCGCCCCGCGGGGCCGCCUCUGCCCCUUCCCCGCCGCGCCGUUAAUGGAAACAUGGCGAUGGCGGCUCCGACCGGCAGCGCGGCGCCCGUCGCCCCGGCCCUCUGCGGCCACCUGGCCCUGCUGCUGCUCCUCGCCGCCCCCGCCGCCCACGGCUACAGCUUCCCCCAGCAGCACACUAUGCAGUACUGGGCCAGGAGGCUGGAGCAGGAGAUUGAUGGAGUGAUGAGGAUAUUUGGUGGAGUCCAGCAGCUCAGAAAGAUCUACGAUGACAAUAAAAGCCUGUUUGAAGUCAAGGAGAAUGUGCCCAGGAAAUUGGUGGAGAAGGUCGCAGGGGACAUUGAGAGCCUCUUGGCCAAGAAAGUCCGUGCUUUAAAGAGACUUGCCAACGCGGCGGAGAAAUUCCAGAAGGCUCACCACUGGCAGGACAACAUCCGGGAGGAAGACAUCGAGUACUAUGACUCCAAGGCCGACACUGAAUAUGACGACCCCGAUGGAGAAGAGAUUGAGAGGGAGAAGUCCAACUCCUUGAAGCUGGAGUUCACUGAUGAUGACAACUUCAAGACCAAGGUUAACUAUUCAUACGCUGCUGUGCAGAUCCCCACGGACAUCUACAAAGGCUCCACUGUCAUCCUGAACGAGCUGAACUGGACGCAGGCCCUGGAGGAUGUUUUCAUCGAGAACCGCAAGGAGGAUCCCUCCCUGCUCUGGCAGGUCUUCGGCAGCGCCACCGGCGUCACCCGCUACUACCCCGCCACCCCAUGGAGGGCCCCCAACAAGAUCGACCUCUAUGACGUGCGCCGGCGGCCCUGGUACAUCCAAGGUGCCUCCUCCCCAAAGGACAUGGUCAUCAUUGUGGAUGUGAGUGGCAGUGUGAGCGGCCUCACCCUCAAGCUGAUGAAGACCUCGGUCUAUGAGAUGCUGGACACCCUCUCAGAUGAUGACUAUGUCAAUGUGGCCUCGUUCAAUGAGAAGGCAAAGCCAGUGUCGUGCUUCAAGCACCUGGUGCAGGCCAACAUCCGCAACAAGAAGGUGUUCAAGGAGGACGUGCAGGGCAUGGUGGCCAAGGGCACAACAGACUACAAGGCUGGCUUUGAGUACGCCUUCGACCAGCUGCAGAACUCCAACAUCACACGUGCCAACUGCAACAAGAUGAUAAUGAUGUUCACGGACGGCGGCGAGGACCGAGUGCAGGACGUCUUUGAGAAAUACAACUGGCCCAAUAAGACGGUGCGGGUCUUCACCUUCUCCGUGGGGCAGCACAACUACGACGUGACCCCGCUGCAGUGGAUGGCCUGUGCCAACAAAGGUUACUACUUCGAAAUCCCCUCCAUCGGCGCCAUCCGCAUUAACACGCAGGAGUACCUGGAUGUGCUGGGCAGACCCAUGGUCCUGGCUGGGAACCGAGCCAAGCAGGUCCAGUGGACCAAUGUCUACCAGGAUGCCCUGGGGCUGGGCCUGGUGGUGACAGGAACGCUGCCAGUGUUCAACCUGACGGAGGACAGCAGUGACAGGAAGAACCAGCUCAUCCUGGGCGUGAUGGGGAUCGAUGUGGCUCUCAAUGACAUCAAGAGGCUGACGCCGCGUUACAACCUGGGGGCCAAUGGCUACGUCUUCGCCAUCGACCUGAACGGCUACGUCCUGCUGCACCCCAACCUGCAGCCCCAGAUCAUCAAUUUCCGUGAGCCAGUGACACUGGACUUCCUGGAUGCUGAGCUGGAGGAUGAAAACAAGGAGGAGAUCCGGAGAAGCAUGAUUGAUGGGAAUGAUGGGCAGAGGUUCAUCAAGACCCUCAUCAAGUCCCUGGACGAGCAAUACAUCGACGAGGUGUUCCGGACCUACACAUGGGCUCCCAUCAAAAGCACCAACUACAGCCUGGGGCUGGUUCUGCCUCCCUACAGUACCUACUACAUCCAGGCCAACCUCAGCGACCAGAUCCUGCAAGUGAAGUUACCAAACAUCAAAAUGAAGGGCAAGUAUUUUCAGUCUCAGACCACUCACCUUCACCACCCCGUCCCCUGCCCCGUGUCCAGUCCCCCCCAGCCCCCUGCUUGCCCAUCUCCCUGCCCGUUUGCCACGCCGAACCUGCAAACCGCCACCAACUCGCCCUUCCUCCCUUCUCCUACUCCUCUUCCUCCUCCUCUCCUCCAGUUCCCCCUUUAUUUGAAAGCAACAUGUCUUGUUCUGUUCAUGAGAGCUUUGUCACGAAAAUCCCACUCCCUCCCUGCGCAUCACUCCCAAACCUGGUUCGAUAUCGUUCAAGAGCCGAUCUUGUAUGAAACUGCCCUUUUGACCCACGAGGAUUUUGUAGCUAGUUGGAUGCCCUGCUCUUCCUCCCCAACGCUGCCCCUUCUUGCUCCUCUUCUCCCGCUCGUCUCCUCCAAUUCCUUCUCCCCUUCUCCUGGCUCCUUUGCUUCCUCCUCCCCAAGACAACUCAACCUGAAAGGGAUAGGGCUGUGCAGGGACAGGGGGCUGUGGGGUGGGUGCCCAAAGGUGGCAGGGAUGGAGGACAGGUGGGGGCCCAAUCCAUCAGCCUCCGGGACAGGCUUUCUGGGGAAAGCCUGCAAGCAGAAAUGCUCUGCAGAGAUGGGAUGGGACCAGCUGGGGCAGUGCCUCCCAGCUGCACAGGUGACGGUGAGCCUGGCCCCAGGGGCACGUGGGAUGGCUGAGCCCAGGGGUGCUACACUGCCUGCCCCCACAGCUGCUCGGUGGCCAUCCCCCCUGCUCUGGGGACCAGCAUGGCAUGGUACAGUGUCCUGUACCACUGAAGGUACAGUGUCCUGGUGCCGUCUGUGCCCCUGGGAGCAGCCAAGUUUGAGCCCAAAGUCCCACCGAGGCAGGCCGAGGUGCCACAGUCGGUCUCCCCCUGCAGUGGAGCAGGACACCACCCAUGGGACACAGGAUUUGGCCCAAUUCCCUCAAUGCCAGAGGGGCCUCCUGACCCACAGCUCCCACACAGCUCCACAGUGGGCCAGGGGACACCCAGCACACACGGUGCCCACGGGACCUGCCACCACUCUCCAUCCCACACAGCCCCCAGCACACGGCACCCAUCAGCAGCCUGGCAGCACCCCCUCCCUGGCACAGGCAGGGAAACAGCUUGGGGAGGGCACUGCAGCACAGGAGGUGCCAUGGGGGCCAGGGCCAGGCGAGCAGGACAGUGGGGAGGUGGAAGUGACACCCUCAGCCCUGUUCAAUCAGCCUUGAGUUGCCUCCUCCCAGCGCCCCUGUGAUGGCAAUGCUGAUGGACCAAGUACGAGUGUUUGUACUCCUCCUUCUCCUCCUCUUCUUCCUCUCAUCGGCUUGUACCCAGACCCUGCCUCCAGCCCUCAGAGAGCAACAGUCCAACCUCUGGCUGUGCCGUGCAAUGCACCAGGAGCUGGCGGGAGGGCAAAGGGGUGGCGGUGCCCCUCGUGGCGGAGAUGUUGUCCCAGGGGUGUCCCAUAGCACCCCUCCAUGCACCCCCUAACCCAGCUCGUCCCCGCGAGCUGAGCCCUGCAUCCUCUGUCUCUUCUGCCGGGGGCAAUCCCAGAGACACCCCAAAGCUACUGGGCUGCACCCCGUGUUAAAGCAGAGCGCGCUGGCGGGCGAGCGCGGAUCCCCGUCCCAUGGGGGUACCACCGCCCCGGGGAGGGAGGGGGCACCGGUGCCCGGCAGCGGAGCCCGUCAGUGGAGCCCGUCAGCGCAUUGCACGGCCCUGCAGCAGGGCGGGAGCCUCUGGUUGGACUGUCCUCGGCAAGGUUCCCCUCUGGCCAUGUUGAUGCCUGAAAACUCCCUUUAUUUUUUUUUUUCUCCCGACAACCGAGUGUUCUGGUGAUCCUCCUCCGGCCAGGAGCGCAGCAUGUGGUUCCCUGCCCUCGCCCACCACCCCUCCCCCGAGAGAGAGACGUCCCCCCGCCCUCCCGAACAUGCAUAUAUAUAUAUAUACAUGUGCGCACAUAUAUAUAUGUGUGUGUGUCUGUGUGUCCCUGCGUACCGGCCGCGCGUACGCACCGCGCGCCUUCAGCCCGCCACCGAGCAAAUUCGAGCCGAGAUGGGCAAACCUCUCCUGAUUUGGCUUAACCUUCCUUCCCGUGCGGUGCCAGCAACAGCAGAACGGCCUUUUCCUUCCUCUCUUGUUACCAAGAGCAGCAAAUGCCUUUUUCUUUUUUUCUAUUUUUUUUUUUGUUCCCUCCCCCCCCCCUCUCUCUCUCUCUCUCUCUGUCCGUCUCUCUCCCUCCUGGCCCCGGCGCCCCCGUCCCCGCUCCCCGCCGGAUAACCUUCCCUUUCUGUUGCAGAUUUUGAAUACCUGCUGCCCAACAGCUUUGAGUCGGAGGGACAUGUGUUCAUUGCUCCCAGGUAGCUUUGCGUGUGCGCUUGCCGAGGUGUGCAUCCGCCCCGGCCCUGCUGCCGACCCCACCAUCGCCCCCAUCCUCGCCUCAUCGUGCCUUGUCCCCGCUCCCCGUGCCCUGUGGCUGUGUGUGUCGUGUGCCCGCUCGGCCGCGGGGCUGCCGCCGGGACCCCGGCCCCGCCGCGCCACCCGGUUGCAUCCAGCACAGUAUAUAUCUAUACAUAUAUAUAUGCACCCGGUGCAGCCCGACCUCUGCGCGUGCAUAUAUAGGUAUAGUUUCUGAAAAUCCUGCCGAGCGAGGGGCCGCCGGCCGCAUCAUACAGUCGUGCUGGCUGCGGGGUGGGGGGGAGAAGGAGGGGGAGGUUUCGGCCCAAAUUUGGGAUGCCCAGGGGGUUUGGGGACAUGAGGAGAGCGUAGCGGCCCCCUGACGGAGAGAUGUGUCCCCUCCCCUGGGCCAUGCCGCCCAGUCUUGUCACCUAGCAGGGAUGAAGGGCCAUCCUUCAAUGGGCUGUUUGGGGAGCCCCAUGGCUCCGCCAGCACCCCGCCCUUCUCGCCACUACAGUGCAAUCUCUGACCAGCCCUAAUUAACAUCAUCAGCUAAUCACUAUCUGCUCAUAGGUCGUUAUAGCAGCUAAAAGUCCUGUUAGGGGACGUUUUGCAGUGCAGCUUUUGGGGAUUGCAGUGGGUUGAGGUCCAGCCCAGCCACCUGCGGGUACACCCCACCCUCCCGGCCCACAGCAGCAGUCACUCAUACCAGCUCUGGGUGAAGCAGCCCGGAAUGUGCAGUCACUGGGCAGCGCUGCCGUUCUGGGGAGCUGAGUCCCCAGGCCCUCUGCUGGGCACUGGGAGUGAAGUCCAGGACACACGGGAUCCAAAGCAAAGUGUGAAUGAGAAACAGGAACACAGUUAUUGAAAAGUGGCUGUAAGCACACCGAGGGGAUGGAUAGGGAGGGGAUGCCCAAGGCCCCAGGAGCGGGGCUGCGCCCACGGUGCUGCUCCGGCUGCAGUGCCGGCCUCCGUGUCCGGUGUGGGGCUCUGCAGACGCUGGAGAGAGCAGCGGGUGUGGAAGUCAGGGCGAGCCCUUCGGUAUCCCCAGAGCGACUCCUUGAGCGCCCUCGGUGCGGUGGGCGCUGCCCGGCGUGGGCAGGGGCAGGGAGGGGCUGUGGGUGCCCAGGGCGACUGUAUGAUCGGCUGCCGGCGCUGCCGCGCCCAUGGGCCUCUGGAAAUUUUCAGAAACCGUAUAUCCCUGUCCCCCGUGGGUGUGUGAGUACCUGUAUCUGUGCGUGUCGGUGGAGGUAUUUAGGUGGCUGUUCCUCCCCGAACAGGGGUUGAGGGGCCGGGCCGAGCUGGGCAGGGUGCCUCACCUUUUUCAGCUGCCCUGUGGGCAUGCUCCCUGCCAGCCUUUGCUCCCUUUGUCCUCUGAAUUACAGUUUUGGCAGUCAGGAGCUUGGCGGAGGGGUUGUGAGUGGGGGAGCCCUGAGCACCCUGGCACUGUUAACAGCCACACUGCUGAGGUGGGAGGCUCUUGGCACACUGGGGUGGCACUAACCUGUGCCACCCAGUCAGAGUCUUGUGGUGACCAACAGGUUACAGCUGUCCCUGGCAUCUGUGGGGCUGAGAAUCUGUGCUCAGGGUGUCCCAAACUGAAGCAGGGACAUGGCACCCACCAUACUGCCUGUACCAGGAGUGUCUCAGGGCCAGUGAUGCCCGUGUAGCAAGCACCCUUCUUCACCAGCUGGGGCUCAGCCAGCGCCCAACCACCUGUGCAAAGGGCACGGGUAUGGCCUUGUGUGUCUGUCUGGUGCUGCCAGUGCAGCUGUGGAGAAUCCUGAGGCAAAUCCCUGCUGCCACCCACAGUGGAGCCCAAUCCCUGGGGUGCCACAGGGGCAGGGCAGGGUGGGCAUAGCCCCACAGGUAAGUACGGUGUCAGAGGCACCCAGUCCCACCAGUAGCCCCAGCAGUACGGGGAGAGAUGGACUCAUGGUUGUCCCAUUCUGGGCAAACCAGGAUCCAUCAAAGCUUGCCCUGGCAGAGGUGGCAGCACCUCAGUGCCAGUGACAGACCCAGUGACUGGUGGGACACUUCUCUGGUGGCACUGCAGGCAGCAGGGGCUGGGUACCGAGCAGUCUGCAGAGAUGCCCACAGCCAGUUCCCCUGACGGGGUGACACUCCCAGGAGAGGUGGCAUGUCACCACCUUUGUGUCCCUGUCAAGCCUGGGUGCUGGCAGCACAGCCAGCGCCGGCCGUGCCGUCCCCGGGGCAGAACUGACCUUACCUUUUCCAUCCCCACGAACCACAAACCUUGUCCCCCAAACCCCAGAGAGUAUUGCAAAGACCUCGACCUGUCGGAUAACAACACCGAAUUCCUGGAAAACUUUAUUGCCCUCAUGGAAAAGGUGACCCCAGACUCCAAGCAGUGUGACAACUUCCUCCUGCACAACCUAAUCCUGGACACGGGUAUCACACAGC
Serinus canaria (Common canary) is the source of this 6818-nucleotide RNA transcript. It is a transcript of the gene named calcium voltage-gated channel auxiliary subunit alpha2delta 2, with no coding region annotated. The record is from RefSeq and is a predicted model, not a curated record. The transcript has 24 exons. Lineage: Eukaryota; Metazoa; Chordata; Aves; Passeriformes; Fringillidae.